RNAcentral lists this ribosomal RNA (449 nucleotides) under uncultured organism. Its description in RNAcentral is "partial 16S ribosomal RNA". It matches the Rfam family "Bacterial small subunit ribosomal RNA", at positions 334 to 799 of the family's 1533-position model. The record is from RNAcentral.
CACUACUGCGGGAGGCAGCAGUGGGGAAUAUUGGACAAUGGGCGCAAGCCUGAUCCAGCCAUGCCGCGUGAGUGAUGAAGGCCCUAGGGUUGUAAAGCUCUUUCACCGGUGAAGAUAAUGACGGUAACCGGAGAAGAAGCCCCGGCUAACUUCGUGCCAGCAGCCGCGGUAAUACGAAGGGGGCUAGCGUUGUUCGGAUUUACUGGGCGUAAAGCGCACGUAGGCGGACUAUUAAGUCAGGGGUGAAAUCCCGGGGCUCAACCCCGGAACUGCCUUUGAUACUGGUAGUCUUGAGUUCGAGAGAGGUGAGUGGAAUUCCGAGUGUAGAGGUGAAAUUCGUAGAUAUUCGGAGGAACACCAGUGGCGAAGGCGGCUCACUGGCUCGAUACUGACGCUGAGGUGCGAAAGCGUGGGGAGCAAACAGGAUUAGAAACCCGGGUAGUCCCAUG